This 45-nucleotide non-coding RNA is filed under the name Schistosoma margrebowiei. Lineage: Eukaryota; Metazoa; Platyhelminthes; Trematoda; Strigeidida; Schistosomatidae. The record is from RNAcentral.
AUCCAGCUGACAAGUCUCACAUAGGAGAAAACACGUGUCCUGAAU